This 1988-nucleotide long non-coding RNA is filed under the name Homo sapiens (human). Its description in RNAcentral is "HSALNT0405764". The record is from RNAcentral. Lineage: Eukaryota; Metazoa; Chordata; Mammalia; Primates; Hominidae.
AGCAGCCAACCAGCAGGAAUGGAGGCAGGGAGGCCCGGGGGGAGGCCAUCACUGUGCCCCAGGCAGUGGGGGGACACAAGGCAGUAUUUUGGAGGUAGUGCAGGCAGGAGCCACAGAGGAAUUGGAUGUUGGAGGGGCACACUGAGGACGAGGACAACUCGAGGGUCUGAACCAAGAGACACGUGGUGUUGCUGCUGACCAGGAAGGACAGUGCUGGAGGGGCGGGGCUGGGCACAGGGUCGUGCAUUGUUACCACCAUGGGACGCCAGCACCAGGGGAGAGGUGGAGAGGGCAGAGGUGGGUCCUGAGGGGCUAGGACAGGUCACAGGUGAGCAGGAGUCUGUGUGGCAUGGUGUGUGCAUUGUGUGAUGUCUGUGUGGCAUGGGGUGUGUGUGUUGUCUGGCAUGGUGUGUAUAUGUAUAUUGUGUGGGUCUAUGUGAUGUGUGUGUGUGUGUUGUCUGGCAUAGUGUGUGUAUAUUGUGUGAGUCUGUGGCAUGGUGUGUGUGUGUGCAUGGUGUAUCUGGCAUGGUGUAGUGUGUGUAGUGUGUCUGUGUUGCAUGGUGUGUGUGUAUAUUGUGGGUCUGCAGCAUGGUGUGUGACGUGUGUCUAUGUGUAUGUUGUGGGUAUGCAGCAUGGUGUGUGGCAUGGGGUGUGUGUGUAUGUGUAUUGUGGGUGUCUGUGGUGUGUGUGUGUAUAUUGUGAGGGUCUAUGUGGUGUGUGUGUGUGAUAUUGUGUGGAUCUGUGUGGCAUGGUGUGUGUGUUUAUGUGUAUUGUGGGUGUCUGUGUGGCAUGGUGUACGUGUGUGUAUUGUGGAUGUUUACUGUCCUGGGCAGUAGAAAGGACGUUGGGGAAGCAGCCCCAGCAUCAGGGGCGGGCCAGGAAUGCAGAAUGCAUGGAAGCUGGUCAGGUCAGAGCCCGGGCUGAAGGAAGCACGGAGAUGCAAGGGCACCAGGGCCUGUGGGACCAGGAGCCGAUGAUCAGGGCCACAGUGCACACAGCCUUGGAGUGAAGGUGCAAGAACUGGGCCAUCCCAUGGGUCCACCAGGGCUUUGACAAGGCAGGUGCUGGGGCAGAGCACUCUGGCCAGGAAGCAAAAGAUGAAGGUUCCCAUCUUGGCCCCAGCCUGGAUCUGUGCCCAGUGAUAGUCAUCAGCCUGGAUCUGUGCCCAUUGCAUUGUGUGGACAUACCACGCCAUGUUUCUCCAUCACCUUUUGAGGAAACUUCUGUUGUUUCCACCUUCUAACCGUCAUCAGUAAAGCUGCUGUGAACCUUCGCAUCCAGGUCUCCUGGUGAAAUGAAUGCACACAUCUCUCUUGGGUAUUAUGUGAGUGUCCCGUAGCUGCUGUAAUAAACUAUCACAAAUGCAGUAGCUUAAAACAACAUAGAUUUAGUCUUGUACAGAUCCGGAGGACAGCAGUUGGAAAGGAGACUCAUGAACACCUCAUGUCAAGUUAUCAGCAGCACGGGGCCCUGCUGGAGGCUGCGGGGGUGAGUCCAUUUCCUUGCCUGCUCCAGUUCCCAGAGGCACCCACAUUCCUUGGCUUUUGGCCCCUUCCAGAUGCAAGGACAUCUCUCCGACCUCUGCUCCCGUGGCCACAUCCCCUCCGCUGACUCUGAGCCUCCUGCCUUUCUCACUUAGGACCCUGUGAUGGCAGCAGGCCUAGCCAGUUAAUCCAGCCUCAUCUCCCUCUCCCAAAACCCUCAACUCUAUCGUGUCAGCAGAGUCUCUUUCUCCGUAUUGAGGUAGCGUUCCUUGGGAUGGCCAUCUUGCCCCGAAUAGGUUCCUUGAUGUCCCUGUACUGUUUGCAGGGACACAUUUACAAGUAGGAUUAAUAGCAUCUCCUCCUUUCAGGUCCCUGUGAGAAUCCCUUAGAAAAAUUUAUGAAGGUGGCCGGGCACAGUGGCUCAUGUCUGUAAUCCCAGCACUUUGAGAGGCCGAGGCGGGUGGAUCACCUGAGGUCAGGAGUUUGAGACCAGCCUGACCAACA